GAGGCUUAGCUCAGUUGGGAGAGCAUCUGCCUUACAAGCAGAGGGUCGAAGGUUCGAGUCCUUUAGUCUCC
This 71-nucleotide transfer RNA is filed under the name bovine gut metagenome. It matches the Rfam family "tRNA". Rfam says of the family: Transfer RNA (tRNA) molecules are approximately 80 nucleotides in length. Their secondary structure includes four short double-helical elements and three loops (D, anti-codon, and T loops). Further hydrogen bonds mediate the characteristic L-shaped molecular structure. tRNAs have two regions of fundamental functional importance: the anti-codon, which is responsible for specific mRNA codon recognition, and the 3' end, to which the tRNAs corresponding amino acid is attached (by aminoacyl-tRNA synthetases). tRNAs cope with the degeneracy of the genetic code in two manners: having more than one tRNA (with a specific anti-codon) for a particular amino acid; and 'wobble' base-pairing, i.e. permitting non-standard base-pairing at the 3rd anti-codon position. The record is from RNAcentral.